AUAGCGUGAAAGCUGUGGCUGAUACUUCAGAGAAUUCUAAUUUUCUUAAGGUUUCUGAAGAUGAAUUACAUAUUGUUUGUGCGUUUUACGUAAGAAGAUUGGUAGGGCUACUGAGCUUUUGCCGCCAUAUGAGGUCAUAGAAUAAUCAGACAGCAGGACAAUUGCUGCAUCACCCCUAGAGUAUGAUGUCAAGCUUGAAGAUGCGGAAUCCUUCUUUGGUCAGUUUGCCAAGAUACUUACUUGAACACUGAUGCGGAAACAAUGUCCCCUUUUGAGCAUGGGCAAGUGUUUGUUCUAGAUGAUGGUGGAGAGUGGGUCGGGUUAUUGUUUUCUUGCUAUUGCCGGAAGUUCAGACCUCUUGAGUUCUCAGUAGGAAGAUUUGGUAAUUUGAGUUGUCAAUUCUAUGAUAUACUGGAAACUGGGUCACUUUGGUGGUGUUGCAUUAUUAAUUAGUUAGUAAGGAUGUGCUAUGAAACUUGAGUUAUUUUAUGUCAUUACUCUUGAUAAUAUUGGAUCAAAGAUUUAACUUAUACGCACAAAAUUUUCCUUGUCUUUA
Camellia sinensis is the source of this 556-nucleotide long non-coding RNA. RefSeq lists it as uncharacterized. NCBI's taxonomy places the organism in Eukaryota, Viridiplantae, Streptophyta, Magnoliopsida, Ericales, Theaceae. The record is from RefSeq and is a predicted model, not a curated record.